CUUUACACAAAUGCAUUCCUUAAUUCUUGUGACAGCUGAGGUAUGCGUGUUGAUGGGGUAGUACUGAAUAAGUACCUCGAGACCCAUCUGGCUGGUCUUAGUUGAUGGUAAGCUUAAUACGUAGUGAUCCUGUAUUUUAGUACAGGUUAGAAUACUGUAAGCAAUGCUUGGAAUCGUGUUGCCCUGUGACGGUUAAUUCUCAGGAUCAUAGGAAACCAUAAAAGACAAGUAUAAUGGCGGUUUGAGAAUGGUG
Pelobates cultripes (western spadefoot toad) is the source of this 253-nucleotide non-coding RNA. Lineage: Eukaryota; Metazoa; Chordata; Amphibia; Anura; Pelobatidae. The record is from the annotation of a GenBank genome assembly.